RNAcentral lists this ribosomal RNA (301 nucleotides) under uncultured bacterium. RNAcentral describes it as "partial 16S ribosomal RNA". It matches the Rfam family "Bacterial small subunit ribosomal RNA", at positions 509 to 807 of the family's 1533-position model. The record is from RNAcentral.
CAGUAGCCGCGGUAAUACGAAGGGUGCAAGCGUUAAUCGGAAUUACUGGGCGUAAAGCGUGCGUAGGCGGUGAGUUAAGUCUGUUGUGAAAUCCCCGGGCUCAACCUGGGAAUGGCAAUGGAUACUGGCAAGCUAGAGUGUGUCAGAGGAUGGUGGAAUUCCCGGUGUAGCGGUGAAAUGCGUAGAGAUCGGGAGGAACAUCAGUGGCGAAGGCGGCCAUCUGGGACAACACUGACGCUGAGGCACGAAAGCGUGGGGAGCAAACAGGAUUAGAUACCCGCGUAGUCCCUGUCUCUUAUAC